Molecule: transfer RNA, 90 nt
Filed under: Erythrobacter sp.
Lineage: Bacteria; Pseudomonadati; Pseudomonadota; Alphaproteobacteria; Sphingomonadales; Erythrobacteraceae
Also listed under: 16 other names
Description: tRNA-Ser
Rfam family: tRNA
About the family: Transfer RNA (tRNA) molecules are approximately 80 nucleotides in length. Their secondary structure includes four short double-helical elements and three loops (D, anti-codon, and T loops). Further hydrogen bonds mediate the characteristic L-shaped molecular structure. tRNAs have two regions of fundamental functional importance: the anti-codon, which is responsible for specific mRNA codon recognition, and the 3' end, to which the tRNAs corresponding amino acid is attached (by aminoacyl-tRNA synthetases). tRNAs cope with the degeneracy of the genetic code in two manners: having more than one tRNA (with a specific anti-codon) for a particular amino acid; and 'wobble' base-pairing, i.e. permitting non-standard base-pairing at the 3rd anti-codon position.
Source: RNAcentral
GGACAGGUGGCAGAGCGGUUGAAUGCACCGGUCUUGAAAACCGGCGUGGGUGCAAGCCCACCGUGGGUUCGAAUCCCACCCUGUCCGCCA